This 41-nucleotide transfer RNA is filed under the name Carex kokanica. RNAcentral describes it as "partial tRNA-Phe". The record is from RNAcentral. Lineage: Eukaryota; Viridiplantae; Streptophyta; Magnoliopsida; Poales; Cyperaceae.
GUCGGGAUAGCUCNGUCGGUAGAGCAGAGGACUGAAAAUCC